AAAUACAUCAAAAGUCUUGACCUUAUCUUGUAAGUCAUGAUUGGUCUGAUUUAGACAAAAUUUUGAGGAAAGGGAUUUUUUGUCAUGCUAGUGCGUAACAGUGUUUUUUGUUAGGAUUUGGAACUUGUUUCAUAUAGCGUGUAAUUUAUGGUUUCACUACACACGUGAGUAAGACCUUAGAAUGGAAGUACAUAUCAUUAUAUCAAGAGGUAUUACUUUAGUCGUGUGUGUGGAUUUUCUUAAGUAUCAUUCGAGGAGAGGGAAGAGUAAAUAUACC
This 277-nucleotide long non-coding RNA is filed under the name Coffea arabica (coffee). RNAcentral describes it as "long non-coding RNA (CARA_LNC007210)". The record is from RNAcentral. Lineage: Eukaryota; Viridiplantae; Streptophyta; Magnoliopsida; Gentianales; Rubiaceae.